GGCAGUGUGGCAUAGUGGUUAUGGAGCAGGGCUCUUAAGCAAAAGGUUGGUGGUUCGAUUCCCUGCAGGGGCA
This is a non-coding RNA of Megalops atlanticus (tarpon), 73 nucleotides long. The record is from the annotation of a GenBank genome assembly. NCBI's taxonomy places the organism in Eukaryota, Metazoa, Chordata, Actinopteri, Elopiformes, Megalopidae.